This 425-nucleotide ribosomal RNA is filed under the name bacterium. RNAcentral's name for it is "partial 16S ribosomal RNA". It matches the Rfam family "Bacterial small subunit ribosomal RNA", at positions 355 to 776 of the family's 1533-position model. The record is from RNAcentral.
UGGGGAAUAUUGCACAAUGGGCGCAAGCCUGAUGCAGCGACGCCGCGUGAGGGAUGGAGGCCUUCGGGUUGUAAACCUCUUUCGCCAGUGAAGCAGGCCAUCUUCUUUGUGGGGUGGUUGACGGUAGCUGGAUAAGAAGCGCCGGCUAACUACGUGCCAGCAGCCGCGGUAAUACGUAGGGCGCGAGCGUUGUCCGGAAUUAUUGGGCGUAAAGAGCUCGUAGGCAGCUGGUCGCGUCUGUCGUGAAAUCCCCUGGCUUAACUGGGGGCUUGCGGUGGGUACGGGCCGGCUUGAGUGCGGUAGGGGAGACUGGAAUUCCUGGUGUAGCGGUGGAAUGCGCAGAUAUCAGGAGGAACACCGGUGGCGAAGGCGGGUCUCUGGGCCGUUACUGACGCUGAGGAGCGAAAGCGUGGGGAGCGAACAGG